This 497-nucleotide ribosomal RNA is filed under the name uncultured bacterium. RNAcentral describes it as "partial 16S ribosomal RNA". It matches the Rfam family "Bacterial small subunit ribosomal RNA", at positions 28 to 507 of the family's 1533-position model. The record is from RNAcentral.
GAUGAACGCUGGCGGCGUGCCUAAUACAUGCAAGUCGAGCGAACAGACGAGGAGCUUGCUCCUCUGACGUUAGCGGCGGACGGGUGAGUAACACGUGGAUAACCUACCUAUAAGACUGGGAUAACUUCGGGAAACCGGAGCUAAUACCGGAUAAUAUAUUGAACCGCAUGGUUCAAUAGUGAAAGACGGUUUUGCUGUGACUUAUAGAUGGUUCCGCGUCGCAUUAGCUAGUUGGUAAGGUAACGGCUUACCAAGGCAACGAUGCGUAGCCGACCUGAGAGGAUGAUCGGCCACACUGGAACUGAGACACGGUCCAGACUCCUACGGGAGGCAGCAGUAGGGAAUCUUCCGCAAUGGGCGAAAGCCUGACGGAGCAACGCCGCGUGAGUGAUGAAGGUCUUCGGAUCGUAAAACUCUGUUAUUAGGGAAGAACAAAUGUGUAAGUAACUAUGCACGUCUUGACGGUACCUAAUCAGAAAGCCACGGCUAACUACGUG